GACGAACGCUGGCGGCGUGCCUAACACAUGCAAGUCGAGGGCUCAGCAAUGAGCACUGGCGCACGGGUGAGUAACGCGUAGGUUAUCUGCCUCAAUCACAGACAUAACAGCGAGAAAUUGCUGCUAAUAUCUGAUGAGGCCCUUCGGGGUCAAAGACUUCGGUCGGAUUGAGAUGAGCCUGCGUCUGAUUAGCUAGUUGGUAAGGUAAUGGCUUACCAAGGCGACGAUCAGUAACUGGUCUGAGAGGACGAUCAGUCACACUGGAACUGAGACACGGUCCAGACUCCUACGGGAGGCAGCAGUGAGGAAUAUUGGUCAAUGGGGGAAACCCUGAACCAGCGACGCCGCGUGGGGGAUGAAGGGGCUUUGCCUUGUAAACCUCUGUCGGAAGGGAAGAAAAGCAUGCUACGCAUGCUGGGACAGUACCUUCAAAGGAAGGACCGGCUAACUACGUGCCAGCAGCCGCGGUAAUACGUAGGGUCCAAGCGUUGUCCGGAAUCACUGGGUGUAAAGGGUGCGUAGGCGGGCUUGUGCGUCAGGGGUUAAAUGUCAUUGCUCAACAAUGAACCUGCCCUUGAUACGGCAAGCCUUGAGUGUGAGAGAGGAAGAUGGAAUUCCUGGUGUAGCGGUGAAAUGCGUAGAUAUCAGGAGGAACACCUGUGGCGAAGGCGGUCUUCUGGCUCACAACUGACGCUGAGGCACGAAAGCGUGGGUAGCGAGCAGGAUUAGAUACCCUGGUAGUCCACGCCUUAAACGAUGUAUGCUUGGUGUUGGGGGCGUAAGCUUCCAGUGCCGAAGGUAACCCGAUAAGCAUACCACCUGGGGAGUACGAUCGCAAGGUG
RNAcentral lists this ribosomal RNA (842 nucleotides) under uncultured bacterium. Its description in RNAcentral is "bacterial SSU rRNA". It matches the Rfam family "Bacterial small subunit ribosomal RNA", at positions 28 to 895 of the family's 1533-position model. The record is from RNAcentral.